Molecule: long non-coding RNA, 719 nt
Filed under: Lathyrus oleraceus (garden pea)
Lineage: Eukaryota; Viridiplantae; Streptophyta; Magnoliopsida; Fabales; Fabaceae
Description: Pisum sativum (pea) long non-coding RNA (PSAT_LNC022382)
Source: RNAcentral
UACCUAACUAACUUCAUAACUGAGUCAACAAUCAUCAUCGCCUAUAAAAACUCAUAAUCUCACUCACUUUUUGCUUUCGAGCACUCUCUGAUUUUUUCCCAUACUCACAUUCAUCACUUUCUCUGAAAAUCCCAAUCAACCUUCAACAUUCACCAUCUUCUCUGAAUCAUCUUCAACAUUUAUCACCUUCAAUUCGAGAAUUCGUCAUUAGCUUCCACUCAUCCUUCAACCUCACUUCAGCAACAAGAACAAAAGAAGAAUAAAGAGAGGAGGAAGAGAAGAACAAAGAAGAGUUCAAGUUUGGGACCGUUACCUGAGACUACAAAAUUCCGGUGAGACUUCAAUAUUUUUUUCUUCCUUAAGUUACCGAGUUUUAGAGUCGCACGAGGGGAAUCAAAGCCCCAACGUGUGGUGGCUUGAUUCCCCUCUGUCAUUGUUCAAUUUAAGUUUUUCACAUUAGGGUUCUUGGAGAUUCUGUUCCAAUUUGCUUGAUUCUUGCAAAAUUAGGAGAUUACACUGUUGAAUUUGUGACUAGGAUGUGAUUUCAAGUAGGAUGUUGGUUUGUGAUUUGAUUUCUGGGAACCUCCAUCUCCGAGGACAGCCUCCGGUGCAACGGAGACGGUAACUGGGAUAGUGAGGAGCGAGACACAUAUUGGAACUCUUUCUUCUGAGUUGUUUCACUUGAGUUUUUUCUACCACGUGCAUAUGAUGACCGUUAG